UACGUAGGUGGCAAGCGUUGUCCGGAUUUAUUGGGCGUAAAGAGCUCGUAGGCGGCUUGUCGCGUCGACCGUGAAAACUUGGGGCUCAACCCCAAGCCUGCGGUCGAUACGGGCAGGCUAGAGUUCGGUAGGGGAGACUGGAAUUCCUGGUGUAGCGGUGAAAUGCGCAGAUAUCAGGAGGAACACCGAUGGCGAAGGCAGGUCUCUGGGCCAUAACUGACGCUGAGAAGCGAAAGCAUGGGGAGCGAACAGG
Molecule: ribosomal RNA, 253 nt
Filed under: uncultured bacterium
Lineage: Bacteria
Description: partial 16S ribosomal RNA
Rfam family: Bacterial small subunit ribosomal RNA
Source: RNAcentral